This 558-nucleotide ribosomal RNA is filed under the name uncultured bacterium. Its description in RNAcentral is "bacterial SSU rRNA". It matches the Rfam family "Bacterial small subunit ribosomal RNA", at positions 78 to 668 of the family's 1533-position model. The record is from RNAcentral.
GGCAACCCAUGAGUACAGCGGCGUACGGGUGAGUAACACGUGGGUGAUCUACCUCUUAGUGGGGAAUAACCCUGGGAAACCGGGGCUAAUACCGCAUAAGCCUGCAAAGGGAAAGCAGCAAUGCGCUGAGGGAGGAGCCCGCGGCCGAUUAGCUAGUUGGUGAGGUAACGGCCCACCAAGGCGACGAUCGGUAGCCGGCCUGAGAGGGCACACGGUCACACUGGCACUGAAACACGGGCCAGACUCCUACGGGAGGCAGCAGUGGGGAAUCUUGCACAAUGGAGGCAACUCUGAUGCAGCGACGCCGCGUGAGCGAUGAAGCCCUUCGGGGUGUAAAGCUCUUUCGGCAGGGACGAUAAUGACGGUACCUGAAGAAGAAGCUGCGGCUAACUACGUGCCAGCAGCCGCGGUAAUACGUAGGCAGCGAGCGUUGUUCGGAAUUACUGGGCGUAAAGAGUGUGUAGGCGGUGCUCUAAGUUCGGUGUGAAAUCUCCUGGCUUAACUGGGAGGGUGCGCCGGAAACUGGAGUGCUCGAGCGCGGGAGAGGAAAGCGGAAUU